Molecule: long non-coding RNA, 367 nt
Filed under: Mytilus galloprovincialis (Mediterranean mussel)
Lineage: Eukaryota; Metazoa; Mollusca; Bivalvia; Mytilida; Mytilidae
Source: RNAcentral
AAAAGUUUUUCAGCAUUUAAUCUUUGAUACUCUUUUUUAUUAUGACAAAAAUAUAUACAUAGGCUCUUUACAGGUAUUUUUGUCCAGUUGAUAUUUUCAUGUUUAUCUUUGCAGUUUUUUUGCUUCCCAAGCCAAACACCCUCAGUUUUAGCUCUGUUUAAUUUCAACCCUGACAAUGUUCCAAAUGUUUCAAUCAUAUUAAGUGCUUUUGAAAUGUCUUGUUUUGUUCUAAGAAAAAGAGUGGUAUCAUCUGCUAGUUGACUAAUUUUUAAUGUGUGAGUUUUGCCAUCAAGUUUAAUUUCAAAGCCUUUGAGGUCAUGAUCUUGUCUGAUCCUACAUGCUAAAAUUUCAACAGCAAUUACAAAAA